RNAcentral lists this ribosomal RNA (420 nucleotides) under uncultured bacterium. RNAcentral's name for it is "bacterial SSU rRNA". It matches the Rfam family "Bacterial small subunit ribosomal RNA", at positions 357 to 769 of the family's 1533-position model. The record is from RNAcentral.
GGGAAUAUUGGACAAUGGGCGCAAGCCUGAUCCAGCCAUACCGCGUGGGUGAAGAAGGCCUUCGGGUUGUAAAGCCCUUUUGUUGGGAAAGAAAUCCUGCCGGCCAAUACCCGGUAGGGAUGACGGUACCCAAAGAAUAAGCACCGGCUAACUUCGUGCCAGCAGCCGCGGUAAUACGAAGGGUGCAAGCGUUACUCGGAAUUACUGGGCGUAAAGCGUGCGUAGGUGGUUCGUUAAGUCUGAUGUGAAAGCCCUGGGCUCAACCUGGGAAUUGCAUUGGAUACUGGCGGGCUAGAGUGCGGUAGAGGAUGGCGGAAUUCCCGGUGUAGCAGUGAAAUGCGUAGAGAUCGGGAGGAACAUCUGUGGCGAAGGCGGCCAUCUGGACCAGCACUGACACUGAGGCACGAAAGCGUGGGGAGC